Transfer RNA from Camelus ferus (Wild Bactrian camel), 72 nucleotides. It matches the Rfam family "tRNA". From Rfam's summary of the family: Transfer RNA (tRNA) molecules are approximately 80 nucleotides in length. Their secondary structure includes four short double-helical elements and three loops (D, anti-codon, and T loops). Lineage: Eukaryota; Metazoa; Chordata; Mammalia; Artiodactyla; Camelidae. The record is from Rfam.
GAUGGUAUAGCUCAGUGAUACAGUGCAUGCUUAGCGUGCACAAAGUUCUGGGUUCAAUCCCCAGUACCUCUG